RNAcentral lists this long non-coding RNA (967 nucleotides) under Salmo salar (Atlantic salmon). RNAcentral's name for it is "lncRNA (ENSSSAG00000111221.1, ENSSSAG00020048346.1)". The record is from RNAcentral. Lineage: Eukaryota; Metazoa; Chordata; Actinopteri; Salmoniformes; Salmonidae.
GUUCAUGAGGGCGGAUCCUCCGUUCCAAAACCUUUUUCAAGACAGAGGAACCAUCCGGUUGAAAUAUUACUGAAUCUUCACGUUCUAAAGGCCCAAAGAUUGAUGUUGUACAACGUUUGACAUGUUUGAACGAACGUAAAUACAACUUUUCUUAAACUUUUCGUCGUGACAUCGUCCGCGAACUUCCUACAUUUGGAGUAGCUUACUGAACGCGUGAACAACAAGGAGUUAUUUGGACAUAAAUUAUGGACUUUAUCGAACAAAACAACAUUUGUUGUGGACCUGGGAUUCCUGGAAGUGCCUUCUGAUGAAGAUCAUCAAAGUUAUCAAUGACAAACAAAUCUGUGUUUAUCAAUGAUGUCACCUUUGGCCAAAUGCCCCAGUACUGUUGGGCAGGGUCCUGACCCCUGAGAAGAAUCUGGUGUUGCAGUCAAAAAUACAGACGGCGGCCAUUGGCACCAACAGCACCUACCUCCCUAUUGAGGUCCUCACGGGCCUCCAGUUCUUCCCCCUGAAGCAGACGGAUUCCCCCUCUCUGAGGUUAUGCAGUGGUGUCCCCUUCUUCCCCCAGUCCAGCUGUGUGUCAGCCCUCGGAGGUUCUAGAGAUGACAGAGAGGGGAACCUUAAACUACAGCUGAUGGUGAUUGAUAUGUUGUGUCAGAUACUGCAGACUGAGUCUAUAUGGGAUGUCCAGCAAUGGAUUCUGACAGCUGGUCAAAGAGAAAAGGACCAGGUUCUAAGUCUGCUGUGUUCCGCCCUGGCCAAGGACCCUGUCUCAGCCUAUGAGGCUCCAGGAAGAGAGCAGCUGACAGUGAAGGAGGUUCAAAACUUCCCUCCUGCCUCCAGAAUGGCUUUGAUCAGUGAGAAGGAUACCACCAGAAAUCAUUCCCUAGAAAUGAUGUCAAACUGUGACUCAGGUAAACUGGAGGAUGCAGACACAGAGAGGGCAGAGUCCAAGACCCCCAGG